This is a long non-coding RNA of Triticum dicoccoides, 832 nucleotides long. RefSeq lists it as uncharacterized. The record is from RefSeq and is a predicted model, not a curated record. The transcript is spliced from 2 exons. Lineage: Eukaryota; Viridiplantae; Streptophyta; Magnoliopsida; Poales; Poaceae.
UGUUCUUCCUCGUUCCCCAAUCUGCGCCGCCCCAACUCUCCCGAUUUGUUCUUCCUCGUUCCCCAAUCUGCGCCGCCCCAACUCAUCUUUCCCAGCUCCUCUUCCCGGUUCGUUCAUCGUAGGUGCUGGUAAUCCUAGCGACGCAAGUACCACCGCCGCGAGGUCAGGCCGCCCCCACAACCACCGGGAUUACGGCGCUCGGCCAGUGGGCAGACUACGCCCACCCGUCGUCGGGGAGCUCGCCCGACCCAUCGCCGGGGUGCUAUGUCGUGGUGGAUGCAACCACCCAACGGCAAGCACUGCGACGUGCCGUGGUGGUGGUGCCAGUAUACCGGUGGUGCCGUACUAAGCCGGUGAGGGCGCCUGGUCAAGUUGCGCCGCGGCGACCCGAGGCUGCGCCGGUCUGCCGCCGGGGGCUGCCUCGUGCUGGACCACUGCUGCCAGUUCGUUUGCCCGAGAUCCGCAUUCGUCUCCUUUCCCGUCCUCGCCGUCGAGCUCGGCAGUUUGCAACCGCGGUUCAACGGCGUGGAGACCUCAACUGGACACGAGCAUGGGUGGAGUCAAUAGUAUGGCGGAUAUGGCAUCUCCCUCUCAUGAUAUUAGCGGGUACAGGCAUAUCUGCAGCCAGAAAAAGCAUGGGGAUGAACGUCGGGCGAGCGCCGGGCGACGCGUAAAGGGGGCUGUGCUGGCUCCAGAGUAGUAUAGCUCUGGGACUAUUUGUAAUUUUUAGUUUUUUUGGAUUAGUUUUUUCUUUUUGUGGUAUUGUUUGUAAAAGUAUGUAGAUAAUUGCAGCAUGUUUUUUCUUUUUUAUUAAAAUGCCAUUUUUCUGUUA